Molecule: ribosomal RNA, 253 nt
Filed under: uncultured bacterium
Lineage: Bacteria
Description: partial 16S ribosomal RNA
Rfam family: Bacterial small subunit ribosomal RNA
Source: RNAcentral
UACAGAGGUCUCAAGCGUUAAUCGGAAUUACUGGGCUUAAAGGGUCCGCAGGCGGUCUGACAAGUACCUUGUGAAAUAUCAGGUCUCAACCCUGAAACUGCUCGGUAGACUGUCAGACUUGAGUGCAAAAGGGGUCGCUGGAACUCUAGGUGGAGCGGUGAAAUGCGUAGAUAUCUAGAGGAACGCCAAAGGUGAAGACAGGCGACUGGUUUGCAACUGACGCUCAUGGACGAAAGCGUGGGGAUCAAACGGG